AAUACGUAGGGUCCGAGCGUUGUCCGGAAUUAUUGGGCGUAAAGAGCUCGUAGGCGGCGUGUCGCGUCUGCUGUGAAAGACCGGGGCUUAACUCCGGUUCUGCAGUGGAUACGGGCAUGCUAGAGGUAGGUAGGGGAGACUGGAAUUCCUGGUGUAGCGGUGAAAUGCGCAGAUAUCAGGAGGAACACCGGUGGCGAAGGCGGGUCUCUGGGCCUUACCUGACGCUGAGGAGCGAAAGCAUGGGGAGCGAACAG
Molecule: ribosomal RNA, 254 nt
Filed under: uncultured prokaryote
Description: partial 16S ribosomal RNA
Rfam family: Bacterial small subunit ribosomal RNA
Source: RNAcentral